RNAcentral lists this ribosomal RNA (2395 nucleotides) under Staphylococcus aureus. RNAcentral describes it as "partial 23S ribosomal RNA". It matches the Rfam family "Bacterial large subunit ribosomal RNA", at positions 523 to 2925 of the family's 2925-position model. Lineage: Bacteria; Bacillati; Bacillota; Bacilli; Caryophanales; Staphylococcaceae. The record is from RNAcentral.
ACCCCGGAAGGGGAGUGAAAUAGAACCUGAAACCGUGUGCUUACAAGUAGUCAGAGCCCGUUAAUGGGUGAUGGCGUGCCUUUUGUAGAAUGAACCGGCGAGUUACGAUUUGAUGCAAGGUUAAGCAGUAAAUGUGGAGCCGUAGCGAAAGCGAGUCUGAAUAGGGCGUUUAGUAUUUGGUCGUAGACCCGAAACCAGGUGAUCUACCCUUGGUCAGGUUGAAGUUCAGGUAACACUGAAUGGAGGACCGAACCGACUUACGUUGAAAAGUGAGCGGAUGAACUGAGGGUAGCGGAGAAAUUCCAAUCGAACCUGGAGAUAGCUGGUUCUCUCCGAAAUAGCUUUAGGGCUAGCCUCAAGUGAUGAUUAUUGGAGGUAGAGCACUGUUUGGACGAGGGGCCCCUCUCGGGUUACCGAAUUCAGACAAACUCCGAAUGCCAAUUAAUUUAACUUGGGAGUCAGAACAUGGGUGAUAAGGUCCGUGUUCGAAAGGGAAACAGCCCAGACCACCAGCUAAGGUCCCAAAAUAUAUGUUAAGUGGAAAAGGAUGUGGCGUUGCCCAGACAACUAGGAUGUUGGCUUAGAAGCAGCCAUCAUUUAAAGAGUGCGUAAUAGCUCACUAGUCGAGUGACACUGCGCCGAAAAUGUACCGGGGCUAAACAUAUUACCGAAGCUGUGGAUUGUCCUUUGGACAAUGGUAGGAGAGCGUUCUAAGGGCGUUGAAGCAUGAUCGUAAGGACAUGUGGAGCGCUUAGAAGUGAGAAUGCCGGUGUGAGUAGCGAAAGACGGGUGAGAAUCCCGUCCACCGAUUGACUAAGGUUUCCAGAGGAAGGCUCGUCCGCUCUGGGUUAGUCGGGUCCUAAGCUGAGGCCGACAGGCGUAGGCGAUGGAUAACAGGUUGAUAUUCCUGUACCACCUAUAAUCGUUUUAAUCGAUGGGGGGACGCAGUAGGAUAGGCGAAGCGUGCGAUUGGAUUGCACGUCUAAGCAGUAAGGCUGAGUAUUAGGCAAAUCCGGUACUCGUUAAGGCUGAGCUGUGAUGGGGAGAAGACAUUGUGUCUUCGAGUCGUUGAUUUCACACUGCCGAGAAAAGCCUCUAGAUAGAAAAUAGGUGCCCGUACCGCAAACCGACACAGGUAGUCAAGAUGAGAAUUCUAAGGUGAGCGAGCGAACUCUCGUUAAGGAACUCGGCAAAAUGACCCCGUAACUUCGGGAGAAGGGGUGCUCUUUAGGGUUAACGCCCAGAAGAGCCGCAGUGAAUAGGCCCAAGCGACUGUUUAUCAAAAACACAGGUCUCUGCUAAACCGUAAGGUGAUGUAUAGGGGCUGACGCCUGCCCGGUGCUGGAAGGUUAAGAGGAGUGGUUAGCUUCUGCGAAGCUACGAAUCGAAGCCCCAGUAAACGGCGGCCGUAACUAUAACGGUCCUAAGGUAGCGAAAUUCCUUGUCGGGUAAGUUCCGACCCGCACGAAAGGCGUAACGAUUUGGGCACUGUCUCAACGAGAGACUCGGUGAAAUCAUAGUACCUGUGAAGAUGCAGGUUACCCGCGACAGGACGGAAAGACCCCGUGGAGCUUUACUGUAGCCUGAUAUUGAAAUUCGGCACAGCUUGUACAGGAUAGGUAGGAGCCUUUGAAACGUGAGCGCUAGCUUACGUGGAGGCGCUGGUGGGAUACUACCCUAGCUGUGUUGGCUUUCUAACCCGCACCACUUAUCGUGGUGGGAGACAGUGUCAGGCGGGCAGUUUGACUGGGGCGGUCGCCUCCUAAAAGGUAACGGAGGCGCUCAAAGGUUCCCUCAGAAUGGUUGGAAAUCAUUCAUAGAGUGUAAAGGCAUAAGGGAGCUUGACUGCGAGACCUACAAGUCGAGCAGGGUCGAAAGACGGACUUAGUGAUCCGGUGGUUCCGCAUGGAAGGGCCAUCGCUCAACGGAUAAAAGCUACCCCGGGGAUAACAGGCUUAUCUCCCCCAAGAGUUCACAUCGACGGGGAGGUUUGGCACCUCGAUGUCGGCUCAUCGCAUCCUGGGGCUGUAGUCGGUCCCAAGGGUUGGGCUGUUCGCCCAUUAAAGCGGUACGCGAGCUGGGUUCAGAACGUCGUGAGACAGUUCGGUCCCUAUCCGUCGUGGGCGUAGGAAAUUUGAGAGGAGCUGUCCUUAGUACGAGAGGACCGGGAUGGACAUACCUCUGGUGUACCAGUUGUCGUGCCAACGGCAUAGCUGGGUAGCUAUGUGUGGACGGGAUAAGUGCUGAAAGCAUCUAAGCAUGAAGCCCCCCUCAAGAUGAGAUUUCCCAACUUCGGUUAUAAGAUCCCUCAAAGAUGAUGAGGUUAAUAGGUUCGAGGUGGAAGCAUGGUGACAUGUGGAGCUGACGAAUACUAAUCGAUCGAAGACUUAAUCAA